UAUAAAAACAAAGUAUGUUCUGUCCCUCUCAAUAUAAAUCUUUGCUAUAAAAAUUCUGUCAAAUUUUAUGAAAUUUACUAAACAAAUGAAUUUUCUCUAUGACUUUAAUCAACUGAAUCCCUCGGGCAUGUAAUGUUGAUAAUAUGCGUACAUUUGCAUACAUGAUCCACACUUGAUGAUUUUUAAAAUACGCAUUAUGGAGUAAAUCUAAAGUACAGUGUAGAUGUAGAAUUAUGUUACGUUUAAUUUUUUUAAUUUCAAUGUGAGUAAAUUUGCAUUCAUGAGAGAGAGAAAACAAUCUUUCUGGGCUGUUUAGGAAAGUUUAUAUAAAUGCAUUUCCUUUUGUGUUAGCAAAAUCAGUUAAUUAUACCAUCUUGUACGUCAUCAGACAGAGGUCAAGGGCACUGUUAGACAACAUGAUGAAGUACUGCCUGAUACACCACACCGAACAACAAAUUCUGCUGAGUGUGAAAAUUCUUAUAAUGAACCGUUACUGAAUACUAUUUUACUUUAUAUUAGUCUAACAAAAAUAUUGGCUUUGAAUUAAUAUUGUGUGUAACCCUUUGAAUUUGUUCAAAUAUCCUUAAUAUAUCCUUAAUCUAUCCUUAAUCUUUAAUAGCUAAAUUUCGUAUUUAUAUUUGUCCCUAUUAUUUAUAGAAUUACAUCAUGCAAUGUUCUGUGGAAAAAAUAAAUACAAGUAACAAGCUGUUCCUUGGACUGAGUCAUACAUGAUCUCAUUUACCUUACAUAUUUCGAUUCAAUUUAUUGACCAGAAAGAAAAAAAAUCAACUUCAUAUACAAAAGAAUUUUAAUUGAGCGCAAUAUUACAAUGUUGCUUCAAUUAUAGAACUUCCCUUUUGACAGCUUGGAUAUAUGCAUCUUUAAUUUUUAUUUUCCCUCCGUCCAUACAGAACAAAGACGCGUUGUUUACUAUAGUUGAUCGGCCGUCUUCUCCUUCGUCUGUGACCUCUUUUUAUCCUUACCUUGUGUACCGUCAGGUGGUGAUUUAGGCGAUUUUACGAGAUGACAUCAUCUUUGUUUAUGUAUAUAUACUAUAUCUAGAUGAGUCACAUGACUAGGGUCGUAGCUAUAUAUAUAUAAAGCGAAAUCCUUCACGCUAGACAUAAACGCAACCCAAAACAAAGCGAAGCGCACUAUCGUAUUUUUAUUUUGAGAGAGGCGCAAUGUCGAGUUAUUUCAUUGAGGACUGUUUCGACGAAGCAGACGUUUACAACAUGGACCAGCACAAGUUCAUCCAUGCUGGUCACAGUGGAAAGGGACGGUCCAAGCGUGAGGUCCAGCAAAGGACCAAUACUUACGACCCCAACGGCCAUACCCGCAAAACUAUGCAGAAACUGGUGAACAACAAACAGAAGCAACAACAACCACAGAGCUGAGGACUCCCACCAGGAAAUGUUUGGCCAGAUUUUCCCUAAGAUGACAAGAUAACGAACAACGGCAUAAAUAGGAUGAAUUGCGACUCUGGAUCAUGAUCACGGAACAAUCCGCGCAUGCGUCCUCUGGAGACAGGCAUGUGGAGGAAGUUGACACCCUUUGUCCUUCCAUUCUUAUAUCCACUGUCUUUGUUGUACGAACACUCUAUUCUUCUGACUACAAAAUAAAAUGUAGUAUAUAUUAAAAA
Molecule: long non-coding RNA, 1642 nt
Organism: Magallana angulata
Lineage: Eukaryota; Metazoa; Mollusca; Bivalvia; Ostreida; Ostreidae
Exons: 2
Source: RefSeq, a predicted model, not a curated record